This 492-nucleotide ribosomal RNA is filed under the name uncultured bacterium. RNAcentral's name for it is "partial 16S ribosomal RNA". It matches the Rfam family "Bacterial small subunit ribosomal RNA", at positions 29 to 507 of the family's 1533-position model. The record is from RNAcentral.
AGUGAACGCUGGCGGUAGGCCUAACACAUGCAAGUCGAACGGCAGCACAGUAAGAGCUUGCUCUUACGGGUGGCGAGUGGCGGACGGGUGAGGAAUACAUCGGAAUCUACUUUUUCGUGGGGGAUAACGUAGGGAAACUUACGCUAAUACCGCAUACGACCUACGGGUGAAAGCAUGGGAUCUUCGGACCUUGCGCGAUUGAAUGAGCCGAUGUCGGAUUAGCUAGUUGGCGGGGUAAAGGCCCACCAAGGCGACGAUCCGUAGCUGGUCUGAGAGGAUGAUCAGCCACACGGGAACUGAGACACGGUCCAGACUCCUACGGGAGGCAGCAGUGGGGAAUAUUGGGCAAUAGGCGCAAGCCUGAUCCAGCCAUACCGCGUGGGUGAAGAAGGCCUUCGGGUUGUAAAGCCCUUUUGUUGGGAAAGAAAAGCAGCAGGUUAAUACCCCGCUGUUCUGACGGUACCCAAAGAAUAAGCACCGGCUAACUUCGUG